This 429-nucleotide ribosomal RNA is filed under the name Gemmatimonadota bacterium. RNAcentral describes it as "Gemmatimonadetes bacterium partial 16S ribosomal RNA". It matches the Rfam family "Bacterial small subunit ribosomal RNA", at positions 355 to 776 of the family's 1533-position model. The record is from RNAcentral. Lineage: Bacteria; Pseudomonadati; Gemmatimonadota.
UAGGGAAUCUUCGGCAAUGGACGAAAGUCUGACCGAGCAACGCCGCGUGAGUGAAGAAGGUUUUCGGAUCGUAAAACUCUGUUGUUAGAGAAGAACAAGGACGUUAGUAACUGAACGUCCCCUGACGGUAUCUAACCAGAAAGCCACGGCUAACUACGUGCCAGCAGCCGCGGUAAUACGUAGGUGGCAAGCGUUGUCCGGAUUUAUUGGGCGUAAAGCGAGCGCAGGCGGUUUCUUAAGUCUGAUGUGAAAGCCCCCGGCUCAACCGGGGAGGGUCAUUGGUAACUGGGAGACUUGAGUGCAGAAGAGGAGAGUGGAAUUCCAUGUUUAGCGGUGAAAUGCGUAGAUAUAUGGAGGAACACCAUUGGCGAAGGCGGCUCUCUGGUCUGUAACUGACGCUGAGGCUCGAAAGCUUGGGGAGCAAACAGG